GACGAACGCUGGCGGCGUGCUUAACACAUGCAAGUCGAACGGAAAGGCCCUGCUUUUGUGGGGUGCUCGAGUGGCGAACGGGUGAGUAACACGUGAGUAACCUGCCCUUGACUUUGGGAUAACUUCAGGAAACUGGGGCUAAUACCGGAUAGGAGCUCCUGCUGCAUGGUGGGGGUUGGAAAGUUUCGGCGGUUGGGGAUAGACUCGCGGCUUAUCAGCUUGUUGGUGGGGUAGUGGCUUACCAAGGCUUUGACGGGUAGCCGGCCUGAGAGGGUGACCGGCCACAUUGGGACUGAGAUACGGCCCAGACUCCCACGGGAGGCAGCAGUGGGGAAUAUUGCACAAUGGGCGGAAGCCUGAUGCAGCAACGCCGCGUGCGGGAUGACGGCCUUCGGGUUGUAAACCGCUUUCGCCUGUGACGAAGCGUGAGUGACGGUAAUGGGUAAAGAAGCACCGGCUAACUACGUG
This 468-nucleotide ribosomal RNA is filed under the name uncultured bacterium. RNAcentral describes it as "partial 16S ribosomal RNA". It matches the Rfam family "Bacterial small subunit ribosomal RNA", at positions 28 to 507 of the family's 1533-position model. The record is from RNAcentral.